CCCUGGCGGCUCGGCCCUGCCCGGCGCGUCCCUCGCGGCCCGCGGUCAGCGGCUGAUGAGAGCAGCGGCGCUGAUGGCCGGGCUGAGGAGCGAGGGCUGUGGGACUGCCGGGCUCCCGGUUCACCGAGGGCUGUGAGACUGCCGGGCUGAGGAGCGAGGGCUGUGGGACUGCCGGGCUCCCGCCCCACCGAGGGCUGUGAGACUGCCGGGCUCCCGCCCAAGCGAGGGCUGUGAGACUGCCGGGCUCCCGCCCCACCGAGGGCUGUGAGACUGCCGGGCUCCCGCCCAGCGAGGGCUGUGAGACUGCCGGGCUCCCGGCCCACCGAGGGCUCCCAGCCCACCGAGGGCUCCCAGCCCACCGAGGGCUCUCUGCGGAGAAGCACAAAGGUGGUCAAUAUUCUCAUUCCGCAGCCUACUCGGAACAAAUCAAUACCGUUAAGGGAAGUAGAGAGGAGCUGAAUUUUUUGUCAGUGAGAUUAUCAGAUUGUGAAGGAGGCAUUUUGUUAGACAAUUCAUGGUGUUAUUCCAUGGGCUGCUGUAGUUAGUCUUGUUUGCUGGGAAGAGUGACAUUUCCAUCUGGAACAUGUCUAGCUUCAAAAUCCAUGGAUGGAAAUCCAUGCGUGGAUUUUAAUGCUUUUUAUAUUUAAGAUCCUUCUGUUAUCAAAGUGUCCUUUCCCCCUGAGGUUCUUAGAUUAAACAAGCAUGUGGAUAUUUGUAACAGACUUCAAGUCUGGCAAUUUCUUUGCAGUUAGUUUAAAUUAUGCAUAUCCUGGGGCAAAGAAUAUUUGGUUUUGGUUAUUUUCUGAUUGCAGAUCAUGCUAGGAAACUUUUCAGCCAAGUGUUAUCCAACUGUAGCACUAGGUGUUCAGAUACUGCUAAACACAUGGAAUUACUUGUACUUGUGGUGACAGAUGGAUAAGAAACUGUCCUUACUAGAGCAAGUGCUGUUUAAUUUCAAUUACUAAAAGAAAGCCCGAGUUAUUAUUCCCAUAAAUAUCAUCCUGACUUGAGAAUUAAAAUAUUUUAAAACGUAUUUGGGUAAAGGGAGGGGGUGAAUGUUACCAUUUUCCUUCCAGAUCUGACCUACCCUUCCUCUGUUUUUCAGUCUUCCAAAUGGUUCUCUGGUAACCUAUUAACCUUUCAG
Molecule: long non-coding RNA, 1144 nt
Filed under: Chloebia gouldiae (Gouldian finch)
Lineage: Eukaryota; Metazoa; Chordata; Aves; Passeriformes; Passeridae
Description: Erythrura gouldiae (Gouldian finch) lncRNA (ENSEGOG00005012345.1)
Source: RNAcentral